CCCUGCUACGCUAUCAUGCAGUCGAGCGACUGAUUAGAAGCUUGCUUCUAUGACGUUAGCGGCGGACGGGUGAGUAACACGUGGGCAACCUGCCUGUAAGACUGGGAUAACUUCGGGAAACCGAAGCUAAUACCGGAUAGGAUCUUCUCCUUCAUGGGAGAUGAUUGAAAGAUGGUUUCGGCUAUCACUUACAGAUGGGCCCGCGGUGCAUUAGCUAGUUGGUGAGGUAACGGCUCACCAAGGCAACGAUGCAUAGCCGACCUGAGAGGGUGAUCGGCCACACUGGGACUGAGACACGGCCCAGACUCCUACGGGAGGCAGCAGUAGGGAAUCUUCCGCAAUGGACGAAAGUCUGACGGAGCAACGCCGCGUGAGUGAUGAAGGCUUUCGGGUCGUAAAACUCUGUUGUUAGGGAAGAACAAGUACGAGAGUAACUGCUCGUACCUUGACGGUACCUAACCAGAAAGCCACGGCUAACUACGUGCCAGCAGCCGCGGUAAUACGUAGGUGGCAAGCGUUAUCCGGAAUUAUUGGGCGUAAAGCGCGCGCAGGCGGUUUCUUAAGUCUGAUGUGAAAGCCCACGGCUCAACCGUGGAGGGUCAUUGGAAACUGGGGAACUUGAGUGCAGAAGAGAAAAGCGGAAUUCCACGUGUAGCGGUGAAAUGCGUAGAGAUGUGGAGGAACACCAGUGGCGAAGGCGGCUUUUUGGUCUGUAACUGACGCUGAGGCGCGAAAGCGUGGGGAGCAAACAGGAUUAGAU
This 760-nucleotide ribosomal RNA is filed under the name Priestia megaterium. RNAcentral's name for it is "bacterial SSU rRNA". It matches the Rfam family "Bacterial small subunit ribosomal RNA", at positions 42 to 783 of the family's 1533-position model. The record is from RNAcentral. Lineage: Bacteria; Bacillati; Bacillota; Bacilli; Caryophanales; Bacillaceae.